Molecule: long non-coding RNA, 1220 nt
Organism: Monomorium pharaonis (pharaoh ant)
Lineage: Eukaryota; Metazoa; Arthropoda; Insecta; Hymenoptera; Formicidae
Exons: 2
Source: RefSeq, a predicted model, not a curated record
CUCUUCUCUUGAACGACGUUACAAAAUGGCGGUACAAGAUUUUCAAACACGUUUUACGACCGAAACUUUUGGUUACACGACAUUUUCCCGAAAACUAGAUGAGAAAAUGUUGGUACUAACCAAAUUCUCUAGGCAAUACCGUUUCAAUUUCUGCAGGUUAGUAACACUGUUAAAGUAGUAAAUCCAAGGUUUGCAGAGUCGGUUUUGACGUAUGCGCGCGUAUAUGUCAAACAAUAAAUAUUAUAUAAAUGAUUUAUGACAUUUGAUUUAAUAAAUGAAUAAAAAUUACACAAAUAACUAAAAAUAUAGUGCAUAGAGAUGAACAAGUUUCUUUGAUGUGCCUUGACAGACAAGAUUUAUGAUUGAAAUCUGGUUUUCCAUAUUAAAAUCAUUGUCAGCCGAGAAACAAAAUCUGUGCAAAAUAAAAUAGAAACAUAAAGAAGGAAGAGGGAAAAAAAUAAAUGGAGAAUAAACAAAUAUAUAUCAGAUAAGUAGCUAAUAUCUUUAUAAAAAAUUAUGUAUUCUAUAUGUGCUUUUUGUAGAUGAACCGAUUCUUUUCUUGAAUUAAUUUUUUGUUUCAGCUUCUUAGCCAAUUGUAGAAUGUUGACAGCUGGACCACCAGAGAACAAUUUCUUGCCGAAUAAAGCUGUCAAAUUCUAAGCCUGCUACUUCUUCGAGUAUGUCAAAAUUGUGAGCAAAAAAGUUGAAAUUAUAUUGUAACAUCAAUUAGAUUUAUCAACGGUGGAGUAACAGAUUGAUACAACAAACUGAGAGCAGGUUUGUCGAAAUUGUUUGUUCUACAAAGCAUAUGUGCUGUUUGUCUCAGCAAUGUACCGACAUUAUUUAAACUAAAAGAGAUCCCAGAUAGCAGGGAGAGUUUAAAAAGAACUCAAUUGUAUGUCACCAAUUAUGUUACCAAUUAUGAAUUCUUUUUGAAUCUCUGUGCUAUCUGGGAUACUAUUGUGUUUAUCGUCAACCUGUCAUGAACGCUUUCGAUAGACCUGCUCAUUGUUUACUGUUAUUUUGUUAUAUAGUCUGCUGAUCGGUAUACACCUUUUAUCUUUCAGCAAACAGAAAAUGUGCUACCUACAUUGGCUUUUACAAGAAUGGGUUUAGAAGUAGCGAUGGAUGCUUGUCCAACAAUCGAAGAUCAUUUCAUAAGUGAAUACACUAUUUGAUGUAAAAUAAACCAAAAUUAUCUUUUUAAAAACGGUAAAAAA